This 403-nucleotide ribosomal RNA is filed under the name uncultured bacterium. RNAcentral describes it as "bacterial SSU rRNA". It matches the Rfam family "Bacterial small subunit ribosomal RNA", at positions 356 to 773 of the family's 1533-position model. The record is from RNAcentral.
GGGGAAUAUUGCACAAUGGGGGAAACCCUGAUGCAGCAACGCCGCGUGAAGGAUGAAGGCCCUUGGGUUGUAAACUUCUUUGAUCAGGGAAGAAAGAAAUGACGGUACCUGAAUAACAAGCCACGGCUAACUACGUGCCAGCAGCCGCGGUAAUACGUAGGUGGCAAGCGUUGUCCGGAUUUACUGGGUGUAAAGGGCGUGUAGGCGGAGCUGCAAGUCGGAAGUGAAAUCCCCGGGCUUAACCCGGGAACUGCUUCUGAAACUGCAGGUCUUGAGUACUGGAGAGGAAAGCGGAAUUCCUAGUGUAGCGGUGAAAUGCGUAGAUAUUAGGAGGAACACCAGUGGCGAAGGCGGCUUUCUGGACAGAAACUGACGCUGAGGCGCGAAAGCGUGGGGAGCAAAC